GAUGAACGCUGGCGGCGUGCCUAAUACAUGCAAGUCGAGCGAACAGACGAGGAGCUUGCUCCUCUGACGUUAGCGGCGGACGGGUGAGUAACACGUGGAUACCCUACCUAUAAGACUGGGAUAACUUCGGGAAACCGGAGCUAACACCGGAUGAUAUAUUGAACCGCAUGGUUCAAUAGAGAAAGACGGUUUUGCUGUCACUUAUAGGUGGUUCCGGGCCGGAUUAGCUAGUUGGUAAGGUAACGGCCUACCAAGGCAACGAUGCGUAGCCGACCUGAGAGGGCGAUCGGCCACCCUGGAACUUAGACACGGACCAGACUCCUACGGGAGGCAGCAGUAGGGAAUGUUGCGCAAUGGGCGGAAGCCUGACCGAGCAACCCCGCGUGUGUGGUUGAGGCGUUCCGUUCGGAAAACCCUGUUUAUGGGGAAAAAACAAUUUGGAAUGUACUAUGCACGUCUUGACGGUACCUGAUCAGAAAGCCACGGCUAACUACGUG
RNAcentral lists this ribosomal RNA (497 nucleotides) under uncultured bacterium. RNAcentral's name for it is "partial 16S ribosomal RNA". It matches the Rfam family "Bacterial small subunit ribosomal RNA", at positions 28 to 507 of the family's 1533-position model. The record is from RNAcentral.